AUUAUUUCACUUAAUUAUUGCAAUACAAUUAUGAGAAUGCUGUAUUGGUCUCUCCAUUGUACAGAUGAGGAAACUGAGGCUCAGCAAAAAGAAGCAAUGGACUCAGUGCCAGACACUGAAAAAGGAAGACAGCUGAGAUCUUAAAUUCAAAAGUUUUCUCUGCUUCUCAACACUGGGGCAGCUUCUGACUGGCCUUUGCCUAUCUUCUCUCUCUCUCUCUCUUUUGUUCUCUCUCUCUCUCUACUGAAAUGAAGGGCAAAAGGUAUGAAGACUCUAAUACCAGAAACAGACAAGAAACCAAGAGAAAACUCUCUCCUGAAGAGGCAACAUUGACAUGAGCACCAUUGUGGAUUUUUUUGAAUCAGUUGAACACUAUGCUUCACCCAGAAGAAAGAAACUUUUCACCUUGGACACAAUUCUGAUGCACACUUCGAUUGAUUCAUUUAUGCAACCAUUUUUACCAUCGGUGCACUCUGCCAGAGAAACCAUAGACUAGAGUUGGAAUCUUACUUCUCCAAAU
This 520-nucleotide long non-coding RNA is filed under the name Bos indicus x Bos taurus (hybrid cattle). RNAcentral describes it as "lncRNA (ENSBIXG00005007038.1)". Lineage: Eukaryota; Metazoa; Chordata; Mammalia; Artiodactyla; Bovidae. The record is from RNAcentral.